AAAGUUGUUGCAGUUAAAAAGCUCGUAGUUGAACCUUGGGCCUGGCUGGCCGGUCCGCCUCACCGCGUGUACUGGUCCGGCCGGGCCUUUCCUUCUGGGGAUCCGCAUGCCCUUCACUGGGCGUGCCGGGGAACCAGGACUUUUACUUUGAAAAAAUUAGAGUGUUCAAAGCAGGCCUUUGCUCGGAUACAUUAGCAUGGAAUAAUAGAAUAGGACGUGCGGUCCUAUUUUGUUGGUUUCUAGGACCGCCGUAAUGAUUAAUAGGGAUAGUCGGGGGCAUCAGUAUUCAAUUGUCAGAGGUGAAAUUCUUGGAUUUAUUGAAGACUAACUACUGCGAAAGCAUUUGCCAAGGAUGUUUUCAUUAAUCAGU
RNAcentral lists this ribosomal RNA (370 nucleotides) under Neoscytalidium dimidiatum. RNAcentral's name for it is "SSU rRNA". It matches the Rfam family "Eukaryotic small subunit ribosomal RNA", at positions 606 to 981 of the family's 1831-position model. Lineage: Eukaryota; Fungi; Ascomycota; Dothideomycetes; Botryosphaeriales; Botryosphaeriaceae. The record is from RNAcentral.